This is a non-coding RNA of Trichonephila inaurata madagascariensis, 71 nucleotides long. Lineage: Eukaryota; Metazoa; Arthropoda; Arachnida; Araneae; Nephilidae. The record is from the annotation of a GenBank genome assembly.
UAUGUAGCGCAUUAGGAAGUGCAUUGGACUUCUAAUCCAAAAGGCGUGGGUUCGAAUCCCAACCGGGAAAG